This 270-nucleotide unclassified non-coding RNA is filed under the name air metagenome. RNAcentral describes it as "partial contains small subunit ribosomal RNA, internal transcribed spacer 1, and 5.8S ribosomal RNA". The stretch from base 1 to 46 matches the Rfam family "Eukaryotic small subunit ribosomal RNA", at positions 1786 to 1831 of the family's 1831-position model. The record is from RNAcentral.
AAGUCGUAACAAGGUUUCCGUAGGUGAACCUGCGGAAGGAUCAUUAUCGAGUUAGGGUCCCUCGGGGCCUGACCUCCCAACCCUUUGUUUACCGAACCUCUGUUGCUUCGGCGGGCCCGUCUUAGGACCGCCCGGGGGCUGCUGAAAAGCGCCUCUAGGCCCGCGUCCGUCGAUAGCCCCUACCAUAAAACUCUGAAUGAAUCGUGUUUUUUAUGUCUGAGUCUCCAUAAAAUUAAAGCAAAACUUUCAACAACGGAUCUCUUGGUUCUG